UACGUAGGGUGUGAGCGUUCAUCGGAAUUACUGGGCGUAAAGCGUGCGUAGGCGGUUCCUCAAGUCCGUUGUGAAAGCCCCGGGCUCAACCUGGGAAUGGCAGUGGAAACUAGGGGACUGGAAUCUGGCAGAGGGGGGUGGAAUGCCGCGUGUAGCAGUGAAAUGCGUAGAGAUGCGGCGGAACACCGAUGGCGAAGGCAGCCCCCUGGGCUGAGAUUGACGCUCAGGCACGAAAGCGUGGGGAGCAAACAGG
RNAcentral lists this ribosomal RNA (253 nucleotides) under uncultured bacterium. Its description in RNAcentral is "partial 16S ribosomal RNA". It matches the Rfam family "Bacterial small subunit ribosomal RNA", at positions 524 to 776 of the family's 1533-position model. The record is from RNAcentral.